CGCUGGCGGCGUGCUUAACACAUGCAAGUCGAGCGAUGAAGCUUCUUCGGAAGUGGAUUAGCGGCGGACGGGUGAGUAACACGUGGGUAACCUGCCUCAUAGAGGGGAAUAGCCUUCCGAAAGGAAGAUUAAUACCGCAUAAGAUUGUAAUAUCGCAUGAUAUAGCAAUUAAAGGAGUAAUCCGCUAUGAGAUGGACCCGCGUCGCAUUAGCUAGUUGGUGAAGUAACGGCUCACCAAGGCGACGAUGCGUAGCCGACCUGAGAGGGUGAUCGGCCACAUUGGGACUGAGACACGGCCCAGACUCCUACGGGAGGCAGCAGCGGGGAAUAUUGCACAAUGGGGGAAACCCUGAUGCAGCAACGCCGCGUGAGUGAUGACGGUCUUCGGAUUGUAAAGCUCUGUCUUUAGGGACGAUAAUGACGGUACCUAAGGAGGAAGCCACGGCUAACUACGUGCCAGCCGCGGC
This 467-nucleotide ribosomal RNA is filed under the name uncultured bacterium. RNAcentral's name for it is "bacterial SSU rRNA". It matches the Rfam family "Bacterial small subunit ribosomal RNA", at positions 34 to 518 of the family's 1533-position model. The record is from RNAcentral.